This 350-nucleotide ribosomal RNA is filed under the name Salmonella enterica subsp. enterica serovar Typhimurium. RNAcentral describes it as "bacterial SSU rRNA". It matches the Rfam family "Bacterial small subunit ribosomal RNA", at positions 69 to 419 of the family's 1533-position model. Lineage: Bacteria; Pseudomonadati; Pseudomonadota; Gammaproteobacteria; Enterobacterales; Enterobacteriaceae. The record is from RNAcentral.
CAGGAAGCAGCUUGCUGCUUCGCUGACGAGUGGCGGACGGGUGAGUAAUGUCUGGGAAACUGCCUGAUGGAGGGGGAUAACUACUGGAAACGGUGGCUAAUACCGCAUAACGUCGCAAGACCAAAGAGGGGGACCUUCGGGCCUCUUGCCAUCAGAUGUGCCCAGAUGGGAUUAGCUUGUUGGUGAGGUAACGGCUCACCAAGGCGACGAUCCCUAGCUGGUCUGAGAGGAUGACCAGCCACACUGGAACUGAGACACGGUCCAGACUCCUACGGGAGGCAGCAGUGGGGAAUAUUGCACAAUGGGCGCAAGCCUGAUGCAGCCAUGCCGCGUGUAUGAAGAAGGCCUUC